Molecule: ribosomal RNA, 253 nt
Filed under: uncultured bacterium
Lineage: Bacteria
Description: partial 16S ribosomal RNA
Rfam family: Bacterial small subunit ribosomal RNA
Source: RNAcentral
CACGUAGGGGACGAGCGUUGUUCGGAAUUACUGGGCGUAAAGGGCGCGUAGGCGGCCUACUAAGUCGAACGUGAAAUCCCUGGGCUCAACCCAGGAACUGCGUCCGAUACUGGGAGGCUUGAAUCCGGGAGAGGGAUGCGGAAUUCCAGGUGUGGCGGUGAAAUGCGUAGAUAUCUGGAGGAACACCGGUGGCGAAGGCGGCAUCCUGGACCGGCAUUGACGCUGAGGCGCGAAAGCCAGGGGAGCAAACGGG